This 871-nucleotide ribosomal RNA is filed under the name Stagonospora pseudopaludosa. RNAcentral describes it as "partial large subunit ribosomal RNA". It matches the Rfam family "Eukaryotic large subunit ribosomal RNA", at positions 76 to 964 of the family's 3401-position model. The record is from RNAcentral. Lineage: Eukaryota; Fungi; Ascomycota; Dothideomycetes; Pleosporales; Massarinaceae.
UGCCCUAGUAACGGCGAGUGAAGCGGCAAUAGCUCAAAUUUGAAAUCUGGCUCCUUUUAGGGGUCCGAGUUGUAAUUUGCAGAGGGUGCUUUGGUGUUGGUGGCGGUCUAAGUUCCUUGGAACAGGACAUCGCAGAGGGUGAGAAUCCCGUUUGUGGUCGCCUACCUUCGCCGUGUAAAGCCCCUUCGACGAGUCGAGUUGUUUGGGAAUGCAGCUCUAAAUGGGAGGUAAAUUUCUUCUAAAGCUAAAUACUGGCCAGAGACCGAUAGCGCACAAGUAGAGUGAUCGAAAGAUGAAAAGCACUUUGGAAAGAGAGUCAAACAGCACGUGAAAUUGUUGAAAGGGAAGCGCUUGCAGCCAGACUUGCCCGUAGUUGCUCACCUAGGCUUUUGCCUGGGGCAUUCUUCUGCGGGCAGGCCAGCAUCAGUUUGGGCGGUCGGAUAAAGGUCUCUGUCACGUACCUUCCUUCGGGAAGGACUUAUAGGGGAGGCGAAAUGCGACCAGCCCGGACUGAGGUCCGCGCUUCGGCUAGGAUGCUGGCGUAAUGGCUGUAAGCGGCCCGUCUUGAAACACGGACCAAGGAGUCUAACAUCUAUGCGAGUGUUUGGGUGUCAAGCCCGAGCGCGUAAUGAAAGUGAACGGAGGUGGGAACCCUUUGGGUGCACCAUCGACCGAUCCUGAUGUCUUCGGAUGGAUUUGAGUAAGAGCAUAGCUGUUGGGACCCGAAAGAUGGUGAACUAUGCUUGAAUAGGGUGAAGCCAGAGGAAACUCUGGUGGAGGCUCGCAGCGGUUCUGACGUGCAAAUCGAUCGUCAAAUUUGGGCAUAGGGGCGAAAGACUAAUCGAACUAUCUAGUAGCUGGUUCCUGCCGA